AACGAACGCUGGCGGCAGGCUUAACACAUGCAAGUCGAGCGCCCCGCAAGGGUAGCGGCAGACGGGUGAGUAACGCGUGGGAACGUACUUUCUGGUUCGGAACAACUCCGGGAAACUGGGGCUAAUACCGGAUAAGCCCUAACGGGGAAAGAUUUAUCGCCGAAAGAUCGGCCCGCGUCUGAUUAGCUAGUUGGUGAGGUAACGGCUCACCAAGGCGACGAUCAGUAGCUGGUCUGAGAGGAUGAUCAGCCACCCUGGGACUGAGACACGGCCCAGACUCCUACGGGAGGCAGCAGUGGGGAAUAUUGGACACUGGGCGCAAGCCUGAUCCAGCCAUGCCGCGUGAGUGAUGAAGGCCUUAGGGUUGUAAAGCUCUUUUGUCCGGGAAGAUAAUGACUGUACCGGAAGAAUAAGCCCCGGCUAACUUCGUG
RNAcentral lists this ribosomal RNA (431 nucleotides) under uncultured bacterium. RNAcentral's name for it is "partial 16S ribosomal RNA". It matches the Rfam family "Bacterial small subunit ribosomal RNA", at positions 29 to 507 of the family's 1533-position model. The record is from RNAcentral.